Molecule: small RNA, 100 nt
Filed under: Flavobacterium sp. A45
Lineage: Bacteria; Pseudomonadati; Bacteroidota; Flavobacteriia; Flavobacteriales; Flavobacteriaceae
Description: Flavo-1 RNA
Rfam family: Flavo-1 RNA
Source: Rfam by way of RNAcentral
AUUUAGUCCAGAUGGAAACGGCAUCUCCCGAUAAAGAAAAACAAGGCUUUUUUGCCGUAGUUUUUGUUAAUCGGGAAUACAGUGGACAGCUGGAGAACUG